AUUUUAUCCUUUAAAGGGGAAUAAGAAUGGGCUGGGAGAUCUAUAGUACCAUAUAGAGCCAUAACAUUAAUUCACUGUGCUGCAGCCCCACAUCAGGAAGUGACCAUGUGUGACACUUAGUGCUGGGUGGGUGUUGGAGGAGGAGUAAAAGGCGCCAAAUGGAACACUAGGACUGUGGGAAAUGACACUGUCUGUGACACCUCUGACUCUUACCCCACAUUUACCUCAGCUCAUCUGCAAGGGUGGGGGGCAUCUCUUUUUAAAUUACACAAUGAUUAAUGCACAAGGAAAUGAUAAAUGCAUGUAAUAUGUGCCACCCACAAAUAAAAGUCCCCACAUUUGCAACUCUAUAGCCUAACUUUAUGAGGAACUUCCAAAGCAAAAUCCCUAAAUUGGUAGGUCAGCAAUUAACAUUGCCUCUUGUAGUUACAGCCUUUCAGCACUGAACAGCAGAAGGAAAUGCUCAUGGUUAUUAUUUUCUCCACCCAGAUUAUCCCUGAGAUUCCCCAGAAGAGCAGAAAAGCGGAGAUUUACUUGAACCGACUGAGACAAAUGCACAAUCUUUGCUUAAGCAAUAUGGCUUUCUCCCAAAGGUUGGUAAUUCAGUAAACAGGAUGAAACGUAAAGAAAACAAUGCACUGACAUAGAGAAUUUAGGUCCUUUCUAUGACUUCAGAUUUAAUUCAGAACUAAAGAGCAGACAGGAGAUCAGAGGUGUAUUGAAGAAGUCUUUCAACUGUUCUUUAAACUGAGUGAGGUUUGUUUUUCUCUGCUUGCUGCGAACUCUGGUCCAGACUCCUGGACAGAAAGACAGACUCAGUGUGUUGGCAGGAGGAGCAAGGCAUCCAAGAUUCGGAGCUUUCAGUCACUGGCUCCAAACAAGGGCAGAGGAGUCAAACCAAACAGCUUCCUCUCAGCUCUAUGAAACAGACACAAAGUGUCCAAACUGACCAACCUUCAAGUCCCCGACUGCUGAGCAGACUGACCUCAACCAGGUCUCUUCUUACCAGCCAGUGCUGUGCUGACACUCUGGUUUGGGAUGCAGCAGUGUGCUGCCCUAAAACACCUGAUCCCUUGUCCAUUGAAGAUGUGUGUCAGCAGAAGCAUGUAUUGGUAAGAUUUUUUUCCCUGGAUUACUUUUACUUCUUCAUAAAGAAUAUAUUGUUUUUCUAAAUCUUGUGUCUCUUCUUGCUUCAGAUAAUUGACCAUGGGCCUAAACUGUGGAGGAACUAUAUAUAAAACACAGAGUAUAUGGAGUGUAAUGUACUUGAUGAUAAUUUAAUGAUCUAAUUAUUAUUAUUAUGAUUUUCAUGUGUAGAUUGUUGACUUUAUUGUUGAUUUUAGCUGUAUGUACAGUGAUGACCUCAUAUAUCUGUAGGUUUGCUGAAAUCUGAAAUAAAAAAUGACACUAUAAUCAAACUGAAAACCUUUUGUACUGAAAUGAGGGCUGAUGCCUGCAGGAUGAUGAGUAGUUAAAAACAACAUUUUAUUUAUUUAUUUUCAUUAAGACACUUCAGUGUUGGUCUAUGUUUAAAAACAAUC
This 1541-nucleotide long non-coding RNA is filed under the name Mastacembelus armatus (zig-zag eel). RNAcentral describes it as "lncRNA (ENSMAMG00000026650.1)". The record is from RNAcentral. Lineage: Eukaryota; Metazoa; Chordata; Actinopteri; Synbranchiformes; Mastacembelidae.